This 469-nucleotide ribosomal RNA is filed under the name uncultured bacterium. RNAcentral's name for it is "partial 16S ribosomal RNA". It matches the Rfam family "Bacterial small subunit ribosomal RNA", at positions 28 to 507 of the family's 1533-position model. The record is from RNAcentral.
GACGAACGCUGGCGGCGUGCUUAACACAUGCAAGUCGAACGGAAAGGCCCUGCUUGCAGGGUGCUCGAGUGGCGAACGGGUGAGUAACACGUGGGUGAUCUGCCCCUUACUUUGGGAUAAGCCUGGGAAACUGGGUCUAAUACUGGAUAGGACCAUGCUGUAGGUGGUGUGGUGGAAAGAUUAGUUUCGGUAAGGGAUGAGCUCGCGGCCUAUCAGCUUGUUGGUGGGGUAAUGGCCUACCAAGGCGUCGACGGGUAGCCGGCCUGAGAGGGUGGACGGCCACAUUCGGACUGAGAUACGGCCCAGACUCCUACGGGAGGCAGCAGUGGGGAAUAUUGCACAAUGGGCGCAAGCCUGAUGCAGCGACGCCGCGUGGGGGAUGACGGCCUUCGGGUUGUAAACUCCUUUCAGCCAUGACGAAGCCCUUGUGGUGACGGUAGUGGUAGAAGAAGCACCGGCUAACUACGUG